Molecule: ribosomal RNA, 795 nt
Filed under: uncultured bacterium
Lineage: Bacteria
Description: bacterial SSU rRNA
Rfam family: Bacterial small subunit ribosomal RNA
Source: RNAcentral
CAGCACGGGAGCAAUCCUGGUGGCGAAUGGCGAACGGGUGAGUAAUAUAUCGGAACGUGCCCAGUCGUGGGGGAUAACGCAGCGAAAGCUGUGCUAAUACCGCAUACGAUCUCUGGAUGAAAGUGGGGGACCUGCAAGGGCCUCGCGCGAUUGGAGCGGCCGAUAUCAGAUUAGCUAGUUGGUGGGGUAAAGGCUCACCAAGGCGACGAUCUGUAGCUGGUCUGAGAGGACGACCAGCCACACUGGAACUGAGACACGGUCCAGACUCCUACGGGAGGCAGCAGUGGGGAAUUUUGGACAAUGGGCGCAAGCCUGAUCCAGCAAUGCCGCGUGCAGGAUGAAGGCCUUCGGGUUGUAAACUGCUUUUGUACGGAACGAAACGGCUCUUUUUAAUAAAGAGGGCUAAUGACGGUACCGUAAGAAUAAGCACCGGCUAACUACGUGCCAGCAGCCGCGGUAAUACGUAGGGUGCGAGCGUUAAUCGGAAUUACUGGGCGUAAAGCGUGCGCAGGCGGUUUUGUAAGACAGAUGUGAAAUCCCCGGGCUCAACCUGGGACCUGCAUUUGUGACUGCAAGGCUAGAGUACGGUAGAGGGGGAUGGAAUUCCGCGUGUAGCAGUGAAAUGCGUAGAUAUGCGGAGGAACACCGAUGGCGAAGGCAAUCCCCUGGACCUGUACUGACGCUCAUGCACGAAAGCGUGGGGAGCAAACAGGAUUAGAUACCCUGGUAGUCCACGCCCUAAACGAUGUCAACUGGUUGUUGGGUCUUUACUGACUCAGUAACGAAGCUAACGCG